GCGCCCGUAGCUCAGCUGGAUAGAGCGCCGCCCUCCGGAGGCGGAGGUCAGAGGUUCGAAUCCUCUCGGGCGCG
Molecule: transfer RNA, 74 nt
Organism: Idiomarina sp. A28L
Lineage: Bacteria; Pseudomonadati; Pseudomonadota; Gammaproteobacteria; Alteromonadales; Idiomarinaceae
Rfam family: tRNA
About the family: Transfer RNA (tRNA) molecules are approximately 80 nucleotides in length. Their secondary structure includes four short double-helical elements and three loops (D, anti-codon, and T loops).
Source: Rfam